Alligator mississippiensis (American alligator) is the source of this 2655-nucleotide long non-coding RNA. RefSeq lists it as uncharacterized. The transcript has 2 exons. The record is from RefSeq and is a predicted model, not a curated record. NCBI's taxonomy places the organism in Eukaryota, Metazoa, Chordata, Crocodylia, Alligatoridae.
GGAGCCGGCUAGAGCGGCUCCCUCCCAGCGUGGGAGGCGGAGCAGGCGAGUUCUGCCAGGAGGCCGAGGCUAGAGCGUCGCAGCGGGCGGCCGCCAUGUUGGCUCCGAGGGCGGGAAAGCGUCUCGUUCCCCUGAGGAAGCUGCGGGUGCGGCUUCGCCUCAGUCUCAGUCUCCUCGCCACUUUGAGGUGUUCUCGCCUCAGCCUCCUCGCCCUCACCCCUCUGAGGUGUCCUCGCCUCAGCCUCGUCACCCCUCUGAGGUGUCCUCGCCCCUCUGAGGCAGCUCAUGUGCGAGCCCUGCCUUGAGGGGAAAGCCCCAACCCACAGUAGCCCGUGGCUGCCUUGCUAGGCCCGGCUGAGGAGAGCAUCCAGACGUUCAGAAACAGCUCAAAGCAGGGGCUGGGGCACCAGCCCGAGGCGGGCGGAUGGGGACACCCAGGCGUUCGGCUGAAGGCCCGGCCGGACACGGCCCGGAGAGGCGUUGGGGUCUAACGCUGGGAAAGCAGCCUCUAGGAAAUCACGGGACAAAGAAAAUCCUCAAAUCAAAACGGUUCGGGUUUCCGAGCAGAGGGACGGGCUUUUCUUCGGGCGGACCGUCGCCCCGCGUCCCUGCCUCUUGGGGGCGCACAAAAUGGAGCCGGUUUCCUGCCGAAGUGGCGCGGCGUUGUCGUGAAAAAUUAAACAGCCGCCCCGGUUUGCAAGAGAGUUCCUGUUCGCUUCAGAGUUGGCCUUGAGGAUGUCCUUGAAGCACUCUUUGCCCUCCCUUCUUCAGCAUAUGUCUCAACUGAGCUGGGGAAAAUAAAACUUGCUUUGGGAGUCUGGAGUCGGACGCCCAGCUAUUGUGGCCAGUUUAGCGAAGAUGAUGUCAGAUGAUCAUCGCCUCAAUGCUCGGGGUGUUCACUUGCGAGAGGAUGCUGAUGUUGGCACGUCUGUCUUCCCACUGGAUUCGAAGGAUCUUUCAUAGGCAGUGUUGAUGGUACUUCUCUAGUGACUUGAAAUGUUUCUAGUACGUUGUCCAUGUUCAAAAUUUGUGAAGACACUAAAUACAUUUUGAGCUUGACCAUCAGGACCCUCAUGGAUAAUCCUAAUAGCGAAUGCCUAGAGUUGGUCUAAUAAAAGAUAUCAAAUUCACCCAAGGAACCUUGUCUGCCUAGAGCACCACAUUGCACUCAAGAACUAUAUUGACAUAGCUGUAAUGAGCAAGAUGUGGUGAGUGGGAGGUGGGCAACUCAAGAUUGAGGAGGCAGCUAUACACUCUUCUGGAAGGAUAAACAAGAAGAAAAGUGCCUACUUCACAGAGGUGGUUUUGCUAUUAAGAAUGAACCCAAAAACCAACUCAACAAGUUCCAUGUUGGAACUGACUGCCUCAUGACUCUGUCUUAAACGCACCGCUGCCAUCAGCACAUCUGUCCCAACUCUUGAUGCUGCUGCUGAAACCAAGGAGGAAUUCUAUGCCAACCUUCACGAGGUCCUUUCUGACAUUCUGGAGGGAGACAGACUUAUUCUGCUGAGCAACUUCAAUUCCAGAGUUGGAAGGGAUUACUAUUCCAACAGAAGAGUCUAGAUAGGGGUAGGCAACCCUCAGCAUGCGUACCAAAGCAUGGUACAUGAAGGCAUUUUGCUUGGCAUGUGUGCCUUGGGAUGGAUGACAGGGAAGGGGGCUAGGACUGCACUGCCACAAGGAUCAGGCACCUCCCAGCUCCCCCUGCUGCCACUUGGCCCUGGCAUGGCAACUUCUUACAAGUUGAGGUUGCGGGUUUUUUUGGCACUGCCCAAAAACAUUCCUGACACUGGGUCUAGAGAGAGAACAAAAACUAUAGCCAUCGCUUUUGGUUAGUGCUUAAAAUUUCCCCCCAAGUGCAGAUUUAUUAUUUUAUUUGCAAUAUGGCACAACUGUUUAUUUACAUUAAUAUACAAAUGAUUUUUGUAUACAUUUCCUUUUUUGAAGGGAUUAUACAGUUCUAACAGUCAUGUUUCACAAAUGGAUAAUUGCAAUUUGUUAGUGAUACCUGUAAAAAAUUUCUCACUAAAAGAAAAUUAGAACACAAUACACUAAUAAUACCUAAACAUUACCAUGUGGUUAGUCUCUAUGGUCUCUGUAAUUGUGCCUUUUGAUGCGUUCAAAAUUGCACUUUCCCCAAAAGGUAACGUUCUACUAGUUUAAAGCUGCAAUACUGUUCCUUUUCUUCUGUUUACAUAAAGAUCAGUUGAUGCACUGUAGACAGUGCAAACAAAUUGCACAAGAGAAUGAAAAGCCUCAGCAACUGGCCUGACAGGUUGCUGAAAGAAAAACUUCCAGUUGAGAGAACUUAUUUAAACAAACAGGUAAGAAUUAAAAUAGACCUUAUAUUUUGAGAGCCUCUCUGAACAACUCAAUUUCACAACAUUUCAUACUCAAGAAAUCGCUUGUCAAAACAAGAAUAAAAGCAUUUAAUUUUAUUUUGCAACUGAAAUAUGAAAAAUGGAAUCAAUGUACAAAACAGACAUGAAUAAAGCAAACAUUGAAUACUGUCACAAAACUUGUAUGUAAUAUAUAGCAGUGGUUAACUCAAUCUCAGCACAGCUUAAUUAGCGUAACAUACCAAAGCAAAAAUAUCUUAUGUCCAUUAGACUGGUAUAUUUGCGUGUCUGUAAUAAAACAUGUAAUUUUAAGCAA